AUCAUAAAUUUCGAACUUCAAAUAUAAUUUUCAACAGGAAAAACAAGCUAUACCAAAGCACCCAUGUAGCAGAACAACAAAAUGGAAAAGACACGUUAAUAAUUAGAUACCACCAAAGAAAAAGAAACCCAGUUCAUAAUCAACAGUGUCAGUGAGAAGAAGCAAGCUUGAUUGAGUGUUAACCAACAAGAAACAGAGGUUGAGCGAAUUAACCUUCGUAAGAGCACUUCCUGAGCAUCUUUUCAAGAAUUUUCAGCCAGGUGGGAUCGUCAUCGACAAC
RNAcentral lists this unclassified non-coding RNA (280 nucleotides) under Hevea brasiliensis (rubber tree). The record is from RNAcentral. Lineage: Eukaryota; Viridiplantae; Streptophyta; Magnoliopsida; Malpighiales; Euphorbiaceae.